AGAGUUUGAUCCUGGCUCAGGACGAACGCUGGCGGCGUGCCUAACACAUGCAAGUCGAGCGAGGUGUAUACACCUAGCGGCGGACGGGUGAGUAACACGUGGGUAACCUGCCUCAGAGAGGGGAAUAGCCUUCCGAAAGGAAGAUUAAUACCGCAUAAUAUACGCAUUUAGUAUUAUGAGCGUAUCAAAGGAGAAAUCCGCUUUGAGAUGGGCCCGCGGCGCAUUAGCUAGUUGGAGAGGUAACGGCUCACCAAGGCGACGAUGCGUAGCCGACCUGAGAGGGUGAUCGGCCACAUUGGAACUGAGACACGGUCCAGACUCCUACGGGAGGCAGCAGUGGGGAAUAUUGCACAAUGGGGGAAACCCUGAUGCAGCAACGCCGCGUGAAUGAUGAAGGCCUUCGGGUCGUAAGUUCUUUGAUUGGGGACGAUAAUGACGGU
RNAcentral lists this ribosomal RNA (440 nucleotides) under uncultured bacterium. RNAcentral's name for it is "bacterial SSU rRNA". It matches the Rfam family "Bacterial small subunit ribosomal RNA", at positions 8 to 458 of the family's 1533-position model. The record is from RNAcentral.